RNAcentral lists this transfer RNA (25 nucleotides) under Polytelis alexandrae. Its description in RNAcentral is "partial tRNA-Trp". Lineage: Eukaryota; Metazoa; Chordata; Aves; Psittaciformes; Psittacidae. The record is from RNAcentral.
AAACUUAGGAUAAUGCAAACCAAAG